This 497-nucleotide ribosomal RNA is filed under the name uncultured bacterium. Its description in RNAcentral is "partial 16S ribosomal RNA". It matches the Rfam family "Bacterial small subunit ribosomal RNA", at positions 28 to 507 of the family's 1533-position model. The record is from RNAcentral.
GACGAACGCUGGCGGCGUGCCUAAUACAUGCAAGUUGAGCGCUGAAGGUUGGUACUUGUACCAACUGGAUGAGCAGCGAACGGGUGAGUAACGCGUGGGGAAUCUGCCUUUGAGCGGGGGACAACAUUUGGAAACGAAUGCUAAUACCGCAUAAAAACUUUAAACACAAGUUUUAAGUUUGAAAGAUGCAAUUGCAUCACUCAAAGAUGAUCCCGCGUUGUAUUAGCUAGUUGGUGAGGUAAAGGCUCACCAAGGCGAUGAUACAUAGCCGACCUGAGAGGGUGAUCGGCCAACUUGGGACUGGGACACGGCCCAAACUCCUACGGGAGGCAGCAGUAGGGAAUCUUCGGCAAUGGACGAAAGUCUGACCGAGCAACGCCGCGUGAGUGAAGAAGGUUUUCGGAUCGUAAAACUCUGUUGGUAGAGAAGAACGCUGGUGAGAGUGGAAAGCUCAUCAAGUGACGGUAACUACCCAGAAGGGGACGGCUAACUACGUG